This 253-nucleotide ribosomal RNA is filed under the name uncultured bacterium. RNAcentral's name for it is "partial 16S ribosomal RNA". It matches the Rfam family "Bacterial small subunit ribosomal RNA", at positions 524 to 776 of the family's 1533-position model. The record is from RNAcentral.
UACGUAGGUGGCGAGCGUUGUUCGGAUUUAUUGGGCGUAAAGGGUCUGUAGGGGGUUUGCUAAGUCUGAUGUGAAAUCCCGUGGCUCAACCACGGAACUGCAUUGGAGACUGGCGGACUAGAGUUCUGGAGAGGUAAGCGGAAUUCCAGGUGUAGCGGUGGAAUGCGUAGAUAUCUGGAAGAACACCGAUAGCGAAGGCAGCUUACUGGACAGCGACUGACCCUGAAAGACGAAAGCGUGGGGAGCAAACAGG